GGGUAACGGCCCACCUAGUCUUCGAUGAUAGGGGGUUUUGAGAGGAAGGUCCCCCACAUUGGAACUGAGACACGUUCCAAACUCCUACGGGAGGCAGCAGUGAGGAAUAUUGGUCAAUGGGGCGAGAGCCUGAACCAGCCAAGUAGCGUGAAGGAUGACUGCCCUAUGGGUUGUAAACUUCUUUUAUAAAGGAAUAGAGUCGGGUAUGCAUACCCGUUUGCAUGUACUUUAUGAAUAAGGAUCGGCUAACUCCGUGCCAGCAGCCGCGGUAAUACGGAGGAUCCGAGCGUUAUCCGGAUUUAUUGGGUUUAAAGGGAGCGUAGAUGGAUGUUUAAGUCAGUUGUGAAAGUUUGCGGCUCAACCGUAAAAUUGCAGUUGAUACUGGAUAUCUUGAGUGCAGUUGAGGCAGGCGGAAUUCGUGGUGUAGCGGUGAAAUGCUUAGAUAUCACGAAGAACUCCGAUUGCGAAGGCAGCCUGCUAAGCUGCAACUGACAUUGAGGCUCGAAAGUGUGGGUAUCAAACAGGAUUAGAUACCCUGGUAGUCCACACGGUAAACGAUGAAUACUCGCUGUUUGCGGAUAUACGGCAAGCGGCCAAGCGAAAGCGUUAAGUAUUCCACCUGGGGAGUACGCCGGCAACGGUGAAACUCAAAGGAAUUGACGGGGGCCCGCACAAGCGGAGGAACAUGUGGUUUAAUUCGAUGAUACGCGAGGAACCUUACCCGGGCUUAAAUUGCAGAUGAAUUACGGUGAAAGCCGUAAGCCGCAAGGCAUCUGUGAAGGUGCUGCAUGGUUGUCGUCAGCUCGUGCCGUGAGGUGUCGGCUUAAGUGCCAUAACGAGCGCAACCCUUGUUGUCAGUUACUAACAGGUCAUGCUGAGGACUCUGACAAGACUGCCAUCGUAAGAUGUGAGGAAGGUGGGGAUGACGUCAAAUCAGCACGGCCCUUACGUCCGGGGCUACACACGUGUUACAAUGGGGGGUACAGAGGGCCGCUACCACGCGAGUGGAUGCCAAUCCCAAAAACCUCUCUCAGUUCGGACUGGAGUCUGCAACCCGACUCCACGAAGCUGGAUUCGCUAGUAAUCGCGCAUCAGCCACGGCGCGGUGAAUACGUUCCCGGGCCUUGCACA
RNAcentral lists this ribosomal RNA (1131 nucleotides) under uncultured bacterium. Its description in RNAcentral is "bacterial SSU rRNA". It matches the Rfam family "Bacterial small subunit ribosomal RNA", at positions 255 to 1387 of the family's 1533-position model. The record is from RNAcentral.